UGGGGUGAGAGAGUGCAGGCAACGAAGCAUAAAAGCAAAGGACGAGGAAAAAAACUGCGUUCGGGACGCAGGGGUCGCAGUUUCAAAUCCUGUCACCCCGACCA
RNAcentral lists this transfer RNA (104 nucleotides) under Pseudomonadota bacterium. Its description in RNAcentral is "Proteobacteria bacterium (activated sludge metagenome) tRNA-OTHER". Lineage: Bacteria; Pseudomonadati; Pseudomonadota. The record is from RNAcentral.